AAACAUAGCCUGAAGAACUUAUUUUAGGUGAAGCCUGCCCAGUGCUAGCGAGUAAACGGCCGCAGUACCUUGACUGUGCUAAGGUAGCAUAAUCAGUUGGCUUUUAAAUGGAGUCGGGAAUGAAUGGAUGAAUGGGGUGAAGCUGUCUCUCUUAUAGUUAGUUGAAUUUACUUAUUAGGUGAAAAUGCCUAAAAUUAGAAAAAAGACGAGAAGACCCUAGGAGUUUUAACCAUCUAUUAUUGAAAUAAUAAACGUUUUUGUUGGGGCGACAUGGAAACAAUUUUAAACCUUCCUUUUUGAUACGCCGACUCAGUAUGAAUAAUUAAACUACCCUAGGGAUAACAGCGUAAUUCUUUUAGAGCUUGCGACCUCGAUGUUGGACUAGGAAUUUGGUAGGUUAGCCGCCUAUUUAUAUUGUUCUGUUCGAACUAUUUUUCCUACGUGAUCUGAGUUCAGA
This 457-nucleotide ribosomal RNA is filed under the name Elysia papillosa (papillose elysia). Its description in RNAcentral is "partial 16S ribosomal RNA". It matches the Rfam family "Bacterial large subunit ribosomal RNA", at positions 1811 to 2615 of the family's 2925-position model. The record is from RNAcentral. Lineage: Eukaryota; Metazoa; Mollusca; Gastropoda; Plakobranchidae.